Molecule: long non-coding RNA, 568 nt
Filed under: Phasianus colchicus (ring-necked pheasant)
Lineage: Eukaryota; Metazoa; Chordata; Aves; Galliformes; Phasianidae
Description: lncRNA (ENSPCLG00000004167.1)
Source: RNAcentral
UUUAGGAAAAUCUGUAUAUUCACUAUUGCACAUCCUACCAAAAGGACUUGUGUCAGAAGUACUGUUUCUUCAAAUGGAUGAGACCGUAUUUCUGGAGAAGAUGGCUUCUAGGAAUAUUAUCUCUAGUUUCUUUAUCAGUUGCAGUAACUGUGCUAGUCCUGCACUAUUCGUUCUCUCCAGCUUUCUCUUUAAUAUAUAUUGGUGGAAGUGUAGAAAUUCCUAAUCUGACUUACACAAAUGAUUUCAAUGAUCCCAGCUCCCAGAAAUUCCUUCUGCAAGCAGAGGCAAUCCAAAAUUAUCUCGCAGAAUCCUAUGAGUGUUCCACCUUGGGAAAGUAUUAUUUGAAGUCCAUAGUGGCUGCUUUCAGGUAGGUACUUUUCCAGUAUGUGGUUUAAAUAUGAGAUCUUUAAUUGUGUUAGUCUUGUCUUUUUGGCGGAUUUUACAUUUGUUACUUUGGGAUAAUAUGCUAUGAUACUGGGAUAAUAUGCUUCAUACCAGGAAAUGGAAGACAAGAUAAAAAUGUGAACUAAGCACUAAGAUAAUAGUGUGAUCUCAGAUUAGUGAGAGA